This 273-nucleotide ribosomal RNA is filed under the name uncultured bacterium. Its description in RNAcentral is "partial 16S ribosomal RNA". It matches the Rfam family "Bacterial small subunit ribosomal RNA", at positions 524 to 796 of the family's 1533-position model. The record is from RNAcentral.
UACGGAGGAUCCGAGCGUUAUCCGGAAUUAUUGGGUUUAAAGGGUGCGUAGGCGGGAUGAUAAGUCAGGGGUGAAAUACAUCGGCUCAACCGGUGCAGUGCCCUUGAUACUGUCGUUCUUGAAUGUGCGCGAAGGAGGCGGAACGGGACAAGUAGCGGUGAAAUGCAUAGAUAUGUCCCAGAACCCCGAUUGCGAAGGCAGCUUCCUAGAGCAUAAUUGACGCUGAUGCACGAAAGCGUGGGGAUCGAACAGGAUUAGAUACCCCUGUAGUCC